RNAcentral lists this ribosomal RNA (40 nucleotides) under Moeroris boehmii. RNAcentral's name for it is "Phyllanthus boehmii partial 18S ribosomal RNA". The record is from RNAcentral. Lineage: Eukaryota; Viridiplantae; Streptophyta; Magnoliopsida; Malpighiales; Phyllanthaceae.
UUCCGUAGGUGAACCUGCGGAAGGAUCAUUGUCGGAACCU